GUUUCGGUGGAAAGUGCCUCCAUGAUGUGUUGUCCGUCAAUCCAUACCAAAAGGUAAUUACCUGUCUUGGUGAAACGAUUGAGAGUUUGAUAGGAAACGAAGAUGUCAUCCAUGCCUUUGGAUUUGGUGAUAGUAAAGUGAGGAAUAAAGACGUCUUUCCUCUAAAUCCAGAUAAACAGUGCAGAACGUAUUUGGAUGUUUACGACUCGUACAACACCAUUACAAAUAGAAUACGAUUUGGUAACCCGACGGAUUUUUCGCCAAUAAUAAACAAAGCGUUAGAUAUUGUGAACGAAACAAAUGAGUUCCACGUCCUACUUAUAAUUUCGGACUGUCAAGUAUCCGAGGUCAAAAGAACAAAAGACGCACUUAUUCGAGCAUCUCAAUACGCUCUGUCCAUCGUCGUCAUUGGGAUUGGUGAUGGCCCAUGGACAUUGAUGGAACAAAUGGAGGCUACUGGUAAUCGUGAUGAGAAAAUGUCUAACUUUAAUUUUGUGAAUUAUAACCACAUAGUGUCAAAAGCCGCGAAUCCAGAUAUUGAAGUAGCAGAGGCGAUUCUGCAAAACAUGAAGAGCCAACGGCGUUUUCUACAUGAUAUGGGUUAUCUUGAGGAUUAGACAAAAUAGCCAGUAAAUGAUAAAAUACAUUUCGGACACGACAAAGCAUGUUAUUUCAGUGAUAACUUACCACAUGUCUAUGACGUUAACGUGUGCGUUGUUUUUGUUUAAUUUCUAGCGAAUGUUGUGUGUCAAAAUUUUGCAAUGGAUCUCUUGUCAGCAACAAUCAAAACGCCAUAUUUUAAUAUCUCUAGUGCUGGGGCAGCAAACGUUUAACGUUGAUUUAUUUGGACAUGUGUCUGUUACUGUGUCCAUGUUUCUAACUAUUCUAAACAACCUUUAUAAAAACAAGAAAUAUCUCACUCGCUGGUAUGCCUUCUCGGAAUCCAUAGAAUGAAGGACGUGUUUUUACCGGGAAAAUAAAUUUAAUAAACUCGGUAAUAAGUUGUAAACGGACAAAAUAAAAAUUCAAAAA
Molecule: long non-coding RNA, 1032 nt
Organism: Dreissena polymorpha
Lineage: Eukaryota; Metazoa; Mollusca; Bivalvia; Myida; Dreissenidae
Exons: 4
Source: RefSeq, a predicted model, not a curated record